RNAcentral lists this ribosomal RNA (396 nucleotides) under uncultured bacterium. RNAcentral describes it as "partial 16S ribosomal RNA". It matches the Rfam family "Bacterial small subunit ribosomal RNA", at positions 354 to 796 of the family's 1533-position model. The record is from RNAcentral.
GUGGGGAAUAUUGGACAAUGGGCGCAAGCCUGAUCCAGCAAUGCCGCGUGCAGGAAGAAGGCCUUCGGGUUGUAAACUGCUUUUGUACGGAACGAAAAGGCUCUGGUUAAUACCUGGGGCUCAUGACGGUACCGUAAGAAUAAGCACCGGCUAACUACGUGCCAGCAGCCGCGGUAAUACGUAGGGUGCGAGCGUUAAUCGGAAUUACUGGGCGUACAGCGUGCGCAGGUGACUGCAGUGCUGGAGUGCGGCAGAGGGUGAUGGAAUUCCGCGUGUAGCAGUGAAAUGCGUAGAUAUGCGGAGGAACACCGAUGGCGAAGGCAAUCCCCUGGGCCUGCACUGACGCUCAUGCACGAAAGCGUGGGGAGCAAACAGGAUUAGAAACCCUUGUAGUCC